GCCUCUGUGGCGGAAUUGGCAGACGCGCUGGACUCAAAAUCCAGUUCUCGCAAGAGAGUGCCGGUUCGACCCCGGCCGGAGGCA
RNAcentral lists this transfer RNA (84 nucleotides) under Abditibacteriaceae bacterium. Its description in RNAcentral is "Abitibacteriaceae bacterium (rhizosphere metagenome) tRNA-Leu". It matches the Rfam family "tRNA". Rfam says of the family: Transfer RNA (tRNA) molecules are approximately 80 nucleotides in length. Their secondary structure includes four short double-helical elements and three loops (D, anti-codon, and T loops). Further hydrogen bonds mediate the characteristic L-shaped molecular structure. tRNAs have two regions of fundamental functional importance: the anti-codon, which is responsible for specific mRNA codon recognition, and the 3' end, to which the tRNAs corresponding amino acid is attached (by aminoacyl-tRNA synthetases). tRNAs cope with the degeneracy of the genetic code in two manners: having more than one tRNA (with a specific anti-codon) for a particular amino acid; and 'wobble' base-pairing, i.e. permitting non-standard base-pairing at the 3rd anti-codon position. The record is from RNAcentral. Lineage: Bacteria; Pseudomonadati; Abditibacteriota; Abditibacteriia; Abditibacteriales; Abditibacteriaceae.